AACGAACGCUGGCGGCAUGCCUAACACAUGCAAGUCGAACGAGACCUUCGGGUCUAGUGGCGCACGGGUGCGUAACGCGUGGGAACCUGCCCUUAGGUUCGGAAUAACUCCCCGAAAGGGGUGCUAAUACCGGAUAAUGUCUUCGGACCAAAGAUUUAUCGCCUUUGGAUGGGCCCGCGUUGGAUUAGCUAGUUGGUAGGGUAAAAGCCUACCAAGGCGACGAUCCAUAGCUGGUCUGAGAGGAUGAUCAGCCACACUGGGACUGAGACACGGCCCAGACCCCUGCGGGAGGCAGGAGGGGGGAAUGAUGGAAAAAGGGGAAAAGGUUAGACACAGAAUUGCCGCGGGAGGAAAAAGGCCGUAGGGGUAGAAAAUCUUUUUUCCCGGGAGGAAAAAGAAAAGACCGGGAAAAAAAGCCUCCGCCAACCCCCGUC
Molecule: ribosomal RNA, 434 nt
Filed under: uncultured bacterium
Lineage: Bacteria
Description: partial 16S ribosomal RNA
Rfam family: Bacterial small subunit ribosomal RNA
Source: RNAcentral